RNAcentral lists this microRNA (22 nucleotides) under Columba livia (rock pigeon). RNAcentral describes it as "cli-miR-1655-3p". Lineage: Eukaryota; Metazoa; Chordata; Aves; Columbiformes; Columbidae. The record is from miRBase by way of RNAcentral.
AUUUACCCACGGCAAGCUGAUA